GGGUAGUUUGACUGGGGCGGUCUCCUCCUAAAGAGUAACGGAGGAGCACGAAGGUUGGCUAAUCCUGGUCGGACAUCAGGAGGUUAGUGCAAUGGCAUAAGCCAGCUUGACUGCGAGCGUGACGGCGCGAGCAGGUGCGAAAGCAGGUCAUAGUGAUCCGGUGGUUCUGAAUGGAAGGGCCAUCGCUCAACGGAUAAAAGGUACUCCGGGGAUAACAGGCUGAUACCGCCCAAGAGUUCAUAUCGACGGCGGUGUUUGGCACCUCGAUGUCGGCUCAUCACAUCCUGGGGCUGAAGUAGGUCCCAAGGGUAUGGCUGUUCGCCAUUUAAAGUGGUACGCGAGCUGGGUUUAGAACGUCGUGAGACAGUUCGGUCCCUAUCUGCCGUGGGCGCUGGAGAACUGAGGGGGGCUGCUCCUAGUACGAGAGGACCGGAGUGGACGCAUCACUGGUGUUCGGGUUGUCAUGCCAAUGGCACUGCCCGGUAGCUAAAUGCGGAAGAGAUAAGUGCUGAAAGCAUCUAAGCACGAAACUUGCCCCGAGAUGAGUUCUCCCUGAGACUUUAAGUCUCCUGAAGGAACGUUGAAGACGACGACGUUGAUAGGCCGGGUGUGUAAGCGCAGCGAUGCGUUGAGCUAACCGGUACUAAUGAACCGUGAGGCUUAACCUUACAACGCCGAAGGUGUUU
Molecule: ribosomal RNA, 686 nt
Filed under: Escherichia coli
Lineage: Bacteria; Pseudomonadati; Pseudomonadota; Gammaproteobacteria; Enterobacterales; Enterobacteriaceae
Description: bacterial LSU rRNA
Rfam family: Bacterial large subunit ribosomal RNA
Source: RNAcentral